This 66-nucleotide transfer RNA is filed under the name Ptychoptera minuta. RNAcentral describes it as "tRNA-Leu". Lineage: Eukaryota; Metazoa; Arthropoda; Insecta; Diptera; Ptychopteridae. The record is from RNAcentral.
ACUAUUUUGGCAGAUUAGUGCUUUAAAUUUAGAAUUUAAAAAUGUAAUUUUUUAUUACAAAUAGUA